This 230-nucleotide ribosomal RNA is filed under the name uncultured bacterium. Its description in RNAcentral is "partial 16S ribosomal RNA". It matches the Rfam family "Bacterial small subunit ribosomal RNA", at positions 118 to 351 of the family's 1533-position model. The record is from RNAcentral.
UGGGGAUCUGCCCUAAAGUGGGGGACAACCCGGGGAAACCCGGGCUAAUACCGCAUAACCUCUUCGGAGUAAAGCUGGGGACCUUCGGGCCUGGCGCUUUAGGAUGAACCUGCGUCCGAUUAGCUAGUUGGUAGGGUAAAGGCCUACCAAGGCGACGAUUGGUAGCUGUUCUGAGAGGAAGAUCAGCCACACUGGGACUGAGACACGGCCCAGACUCCUACGGGAGGCAG